AAGAAUUUAGGUUAAAUCAAACCAAAGGCCUUCAAAGCCUUAAAUGGGGGUUAAAAUCUCCCAGUUCUUA
Molecule: transfer RNA, 70 nt
Filed under: Chasmodes bosquianus (striped blenny)
Lineage: Eukaryota; Metazoa; Chordata; Actinopteri; Blenniiformes; Blenniidae
Description: tRNA-Trp
Rfam family: tRNA
About the family: Transfer RNA (tRNA) molecules are approximately 80 nucleotides in length. Their secondary structure includes four short double-helical elements and three loops (D, anti-codon, and T loops).
Source: RNAcentral